This 240-nucleotide ribosomal RNA is filed under the name uncultured bacterium. RNAcentral's name for it is "partial 16S ribosomal RNA". It matches the Rfam family "Bacterial small subunit ribosomal RNA", at positions 91 to 334 of the family's 1533-position model. The record is from RNAcentral.
ACGAGCGGCGGACGGGUGAGUAACGCGUAGGAAUCUACCGAUUAGUGGGGGACAACCUGGGGAAACCCAGGCUAAUACCGCAUAAGCCCUUCGGGGGAAAGCUGGGGAUCUUCGGACCUGGUGCUAAUUGAUGAGCCUGCGUUGGAUUAGCUAGUUGGUUGGGUAAAGGCUGACCAAGGCGACGAUCCAUAGCUGGUCUGAGAGGAUGAUCAGCCACACUGGGACUGAGACACGGCCCAG